CUGCCUACGGGGGGCUGCAGUGGGGAAUUUUGGACAAUGGGGGCAACCCUGAUCCAGCCAUUCCGCGUGAGUGAAGAAGGCCUUCGGGUUGUAAAGCUCUUUCGGCAGGAACGAAACGGCGGGCUCUAACAUAGCCUGUCAAUGACGGUACCUGAAGAAGAAGCACCGGCUAACUACGUGCCAGCAGCCGCGGUAAUACGUAGGGUGCGAGCGUUAAUCGGAAUUACUGGGCGUAAAGCGUGCGCAGGCGGCUUUGUAAGACAGGUGUGAAAUCCCCGGGCUUAACCUGGGAACUGCGCUUGUGACUGCAAGGCUCGAGUGCGGCAGAGGGGGGUGGAAUUCCACGUGUAGCAGUGAAAUGCGUAGAGAUGUGGAGGAACACCGAUGGCGAAGGCAGCCCCCUGGGUCGACACUGACGCUCAUGCACGAAAGCGUGGGUAGCAAACAGGAUUAGAUACCCGUGUAGUCCC
RNAcentral lists this ribosomal RNA (470 nucleotides) under uncultured Rhodocyclaceae bacterium. RNAcentral describes it as "bacterial SSU rRNA". It matches the Rfam family "Bacterial small subunit ribosomal RNA", at positions 335 to 797 of the family's 1533-position model. The record is from RNAcentral. Lineage: Bacteria; Pseudomonadati; Pseudomonadota; Betaproteobacteria; Rhodocyclales; Rhodocyclaceae.